GCCACCAGCAUCAGCCAUGCUCUGUCUAGUGCCUUAUUCAGGAAGGUGUUACUCAUACAGAUCGAUAUUUGAAUGGCACCCUUCUGAGUAGAGUAAUGUGCAACGAGGACCACAUUUGUGGCGGC
Aotus nancymaae (Ma's night monkey) is the source of this 125-nucleotide microRNA precursor. The record is from Ensembl. NCBI's taxonomy places the organism in Eukaryota, Metazoa, Chordata, Mammalia, Primates, Aotidae.